ACUGUUUGGACGAGGGGCCCCUCUCGGGUUACCGAAUUCAGACAAACUCCGAAUGCCAAUUAAUUUAACUUGGGAGUCAGAACAUGGGUGAUAAGGUCCGUGUUCGAAAGGGAAACAGCCCAGACCACCAGCUAAGGUCCCAAAAUAUAUGUUAAGUGGAAAAGGAUGUGGCGUUGCCCAGACAACUAGGAUGUUGGCUUAGAAGCAGCCAUCAUUUAAAGAGUGCGUAAUAGCUCACUAGUCGAGUGACACUGCGCCGAAAAUGUACCGGGGCUAAACAUAUUACCGAAGCUGUGGAUUGUCCUUUGGACAAUGGUAGGAGAGCGUUCUAAGGGCGUUGAAGCAUGAUCGUAAGGACAUGUGGAGCGCUUAGAAGUGAGAAUGCCGGUGUGAGUAGCGAAAGACGGGUGAGAAUCCCGUCCACCGAUUGACUAAGGUUUCCAGAGGAAGGCUCGUCCGCUCUGGGUUAGUCGGGUCCUAAGCUGAGGCCGACAGGCGUAGGCGAUGGAUAACAGGUUGAUAUUCCUGUACCACCUAUAAUCGUUUUAAUCGAUGGGGGGACGCAGUAGGAUAGGCGAAGCGUGCGAUUGGAUUGCACGUCUAAGCAGUAAGGCUGAGUAUUAGGCAAAUCCGGUACUCAUUAAGGCUGAGCUGUGAUGGGGAGAAGACAUUGUGUCUUCGAGUCGUUGAUUUCACACUGCCGAGAAAAGCCUCUAGAUAGAAAAUAGGUGCCCGUACCGCAAACCGACACAGGUAGUCAAGAUGAGAAUUCUAAGGUGAGCGAGCGAACUCUCGUUAAGGAACUCGGCAAAAUGACCCCGUAACUUCGGGAGAAGGGGUGCUCUUUAGGGUUAACGCCCAGAAGAGCCGCAGUGAAUAGGCCCAAGCGACUGUUUAUCAAAAACACAGGUCUCUGCUAAACCGUAAGGUGAUGUAUAGGGGCUGACGCCUGCCCGGUGCUGGAAGGUUAAGAGGAGUGGUUAGCUUCUGCGAAGCUACGAAUCGAAGCCCCAGUAAACGGCGGCCGUAACUAUAACGGUCCUAAGGUAGCGAAAUUCCUUGUCGGGUAAGUUCCGACCCGCACGAAAGGCGUAACGAUUUGGGCACUGUCUCAACGAGAGACUCGGUGAAAUCAUAGUACCUGUGAAGAUGCAGGUUACCCGCGACAGGACGGAAAGACCCCGUGGAGCUUUACUGUAGCCUGAUAUUGAAAUUCGGCACAGCUUGUACAGGAUAGGUAGGAGCCUUUGAAACGUGAGCGCUAGCUUACGUGGAGGCGCUGGUGGGAUACUACCCUAGCUGUGUUGGCUUUCUAACCCGCACCACUUAUCGUGGUGGGAGACAGUGUCAGGCGGGCAGUUUGACUGGGGCGGUCGCCUCCUAAAAGGUAACGGAGGCGCUCAAAGGUUCCCUCAGAAUGGUUGGAAAUCAUUCAUAGAGUGUAAAGGCAUAAGGGAGCUUGACUGCGAGACCUACAAGUCGAGCAGGGUCGAAAGACGGACUUAGUGAUCCGGUGGUUCCGCAUGGAAGGGCCAUCGCUCAACGGAUAAAAGCUACCCCGGGGAUAACAGGCUUAUCUCCCCCAAGAGUUCACAUCGACGGGGAGGUUUGGCACCUCGAUGUCGGCUCAUCGCAUCCUGGGGCUGUAGUCGGUCCCAAGGGUUGGGCUGUUCGCCCAUUAAAGCGGUACGCGAGCUGGGUUCAGAACGUCGUGAGACAGUUCGGUCCCUAUCCGUCGUGGGCGUAGGAAAUUUGAGAGGAGCUGUCCUUAGUACGAGAGGACCGGGAUGGACAUACCU
Molecule: ribosomal RNA, 1799 nt
Filed under: Staphylococcus aureus
Lineage: Bacteria; Bacillati; Bacillota; Bacilli; Caryophanales; Staphylococcaceae
Description: partial 23S ribosomal RNA
Rfam family: Bacterial large subunit ribosomal RNA
Source: RNAcentral